AGAGUGAUGGUCAGGCUGGUUAUCAUUCCCAGGUCUGGUGGAAGGUUCCCGGACAACUGGUUACUGCUGAGGUCGAGGAGCAAGAGCUCUUUGCAACGUCCCAUCUCCGGAGGUAUGUCCCCUGAAAGCUGGUUCAUGCUUAGAUUGAGCUGACUUAAGAGGUUCAUUUUGCCAAUCUCCGCAGGAAUAGGACCACUCAGGUUGUUGAACGAGGCAUCCAGGAUUUCCAGAUUCGAAAGCGAGCCAAACUCGGCAGGGAACGGCCCAGACAGCUGGUUAUCAUGCACGUCGAGCAUUUGCAG
This 302-nucleotide long non-coding RNA is filed under the name Selaginella moellendorffii. RNAcentral's name for it is "long non-coding RNA (SMOE_LNC000566)". The record is from RNAcentral. Lineage: Eukaryota; Viridiplantae; Streptophyta; Lycopodiopsida; Selaginellales; Selaginellaceae.